This 102-nucleotide ribosomal RNA is filed under the name Loxodonta africana (African savanna elephant). The record is from RNAcentral. Lineage: Eukaryota; Metazoa; Chordata; Mammalia; Proboscidea; Elephantidae.
GUCUAUGGCCGUACCACCCUGGACACGCCUGAUCACAUCUGAUCUUGGAAGCUAAGCAGGGUUGGGCCUGGUUAGUACUGGGAAUACCGGGUGCUGUAGGCU